CCUACGGGUGGCAGCAGUGAGGAAUAUUGGUCAAUGGGCGCUAGCCUGACCCAGCCAAGUCGCGUGAAGGAUGACUGCCCUAUGGGUUUUAAGCUUCUUUUAUAGGGAAAUAAAGUGCAGUAUGUAUACUGCUUUGCAUGUACCUUAUGAAUAAGGAUCGGCUAACUCCGUGCCAGCAGCCACGGUAAUACGGAGGAGCCGAGCGUUAUCCGGAUUUAGUGGGUUUAAAGGGAGCGUAGGCGGGUUGUUAAGUCAGUGGUGAAAGUUUGCGGCUCAACCGUAAAAUUGCAGUUGCGACUGGUAGCCUUGAGUACAGUAGAGGUAGGCGGAAUUCGUGGUGUAGCGGUGAAAUGCUUAGAUAUCACGAAGAACUCCGAUUGCGAAGGCAGCUGGCUGGACUGUAACUGACGCUGAUGCUCGAAAGUGUGGGGAUCAAACAGGAUUAGAUACCCUUGUAGUC
Molecule: ribosomal RNA, 460 nt
Filed under: uncultured bacterium
Lineage: Bacteria
Description: partial 16S ribosomal RNA
Rfam family: Bacterial small subunit ribosomal RNA
Source: RNAcentral